CUGUUGCCCCUGCCCCCUCAAAUCUACCUUGAUCCUCCUCCUUCCCCUCGUCGGGAUGAGUGUGUCCAUUACUGUCCCCUGAUCCAAAGUAUCAAUCACUUCCAAUGGGCACUGCUCCCUCUGACAGGAUCCACUCACACACUCUAGGGGUAGGGAAGCCCUGCUAUGGAGGGUGACCCAAGAUCAACACGGUUUGUGUCCAUAAAAGAGUCUUUGUCUUUCUUUAGGUCAACGAUGGGAAUGGAUCACUGACAUCUCCAUGAUGCCCGAGACCUCACAGAGUUACCUUCCAGGGCCCUCCCGUGUUCCCGGGAGGGAGCUCAAGGACACAUACACCUCUAUCCCCGUCACCGCUAUGGAAGACCCCGCAGACGUCCUUCAGGUCAACGAUGGGAAUGGACCACUGACAUCUCCACGAUGCCCAACACCUCACAGUUACUUGCCAGGGCCCUCCCGUGUUCCCCGCAGGGAGUGCGAGGACACAUACACCUCUAUCCCCAUCACCACUCCGGAAGACACCGCAGACGUCCUUCAGGUGAGCAUUACUCCGCUCAGGGAGGUCCUAAUUACUCUUAUGAAUGAAUGCAACCAGCACCUUCCUCAGCAGAGCACUACACACAUCACUUGGGAAGACAGAUGUUAUCCAGGGCCUGUUUACUUUCCGCGUCCCACUCAUCUCACCCCCACUACAUUGUGAUGACUCGUCCAUGACUUCUCCUGUUCCUUGAAAAUGCCAACAUAAUAUCGUCUAAUUUGCAUCUUGCUCAAUACAGAAUCUUUUUCCUCUGCUAAUUUUCACCUGGAUGAUUAAAGAAGGCCCUGAGGGACAGAGUUCCUUCCUCUGUUUUACUCUUCCAUUAGGAGUUAUCUUCAUCAAUAGGUAUUCGUGUUCCUAGGUCAGGCUACUUAAGAGUAUUUUGAAGAUGUCUAGGAUCCAGGUGACUGGCAGGGCUCUCAUGUGAUCAAGGCAGACAACUCCAGAACCACAUGCAUCAAACAGUAUCAGUGCAAUGACAGAUGCCACCAAACUCCCUGUGUUGUAUCCCUGCACUCACAAUGAAUCAACUACACAGUUAUUUGAUGGACACCCUUCUGCAUGGGGCACGACACAUACCUUUCUUUCAUUUGGAGGACAUGCCCAGACACCUUUACAUUCUCAUGUGCAACUUCCAUCUACGUUGCCUACACCUUCAGACAUCAUAAUGAGACUGUCCCCAAGACGGACUCAUAACCACAGACAAUGCUUACAGGCCGCCCUCUGAAUAUCAAAUGUCACUCACUAAGCAUCCCCUUCCUUAAAUGAUGUUAAGGACACAAUGAUUAAGAUUGUUCCUGUGUCUCUUCUUCUGGAAGAAAUUAUACUUAACCUUUUUAUUCACAGUGCUAAAACAUUGAAAUCCUGCUGAAAAGGCGUUCGAUCAGAGCCAGCCUGGACCAAAGUCCCUCCUGUGGUCCAAGUACUCAGUUCAAGGACAUAAGCAUUUCUAUCUGCCUCAUGGGACUGAAGGCCACAAAGGUGGUGGUGGUAAAUGUUGCCCUACUAAAACAGGUACUAAGAGGCAAGACAUAAGUGUCAGGAGCACUGUUCUUGGGAGGUGGGUCACCUGUGAGAGNCAAAAAAAAAAAAAAAAAAAAAAAAAAAAAAAAAAAACUGGCCACUCAUGCCUUGACUCAGAAACAAAAGGUUUAAAAAAAAA
Molecule: long non-coding RNA, 1697 nt
Organism: Vulpes vulpes (red fox)
Lineage: Eukaryota; Metazoa; Chordata; Mammalia; Carnivora; Canidae
Source: Ensembl